CCGUCAAUUCCUUUGAGUUUUAGUCUUGCGACCGUACUUCCCAGGCGGAGUACUUAAUGCGUUAGCUGCGGCACUGCAGGGGUCAAUACCCGCAACACCUAGUACUCAUCGUUUACGGCGUGGACUACCAGGGUAUCUAAUCCUGUUUGCUCCCCACGCUUUCGCGUCUCAGCGUCAAUAUCGGUCCAGGUAGCCGCCUUCGCCACCGGUGUUCCUCCUAAUAUCUACGGAUUUCACUCCUACACUAGGAAUUCCACUACCCUCUCCCGUAUUCAAGUCUGACAGUUUCCAAUGCACUUCCCAGGUUGAGCCCGGGGCUUUCACAUCAGACUUACCAAACCGCCUACACGCGCUUUACGCCCAAUAAUUCCGAACAACGCUCGCACCCUCCGUAUUACCGCGGCUGCUGGCACGGAGUUAGCCGGUGCUUCCUUUGAGGGUACCGUCAAGCAAAGAUGAUAUUAGCACCCCUGCAUUUCUUCCCCUCUGACAGAGCUUUACGACCCGAAGGCCUUCAUCACUCACGCGGCGUUGCUGCGUCAGGGUUUCCCCCAUUGCGCAAAAUUCCCCACUGCUGCCUCCCGUAGGAGU
This 591-nucleotide ribosomal RNA is filed under the name uncultured bacterium. RNAcentral's name for it is "partial 16S ribosomal RNA". The record is from RNAcentral.